RNAcentral lists this ribosomal RNA (524 nucleotides) under uncultured bacterium. RNAcentral describes it as "bacterial SSU rRNA". It matches the Rfam family "Bacterial small subunit ribosomal RNA", at positions 180 to 717 of the family's 1533-position model. The record is from RNAcentral.
GACGGAGAGGCAUCUCUACCGUCUGGAAAGUUUUUCGGUCUGGGAUGGACUCGCGGCCUAUCAGCUUGUUGGUGAGGUAAUGGCUCACCAAGGCGACGACGGGUAGCCGGCCUGAGAGGGCGACCGGCCACACUGGGACUGAGACACGGCCCAGACUCCUACGGGAGGCAGCAGUGGGGAAUAUUGCACAAUGGGCGAAAGCCUGAUGCAGCAACGCCGCGUGAGGGAUGACGGCCUUCGGGUUGUAAACCUCUUUCAGUAGGGAAGAAGCGAAAGUGACGGUACCUACAGAAGAAGCACCGGCUAACUACGUGCCAGCAGCCGCGGUAAUACGUAGGGUGCGAGCGUUGUCCGGAAUUAUUGGGCGUAAAGAGCUUGUAGGCGGUUUGUCGCGUCUGCUGUGAAAAUCCGGGGCUCAACCCCGGACUUGCAGUGGGUACGGGCAGACUAGAGUGUGGUAGGGGAGACUGGAAUUCCUGGUGUAGCGGUGAAAUGCGCAGAUAUCAGGAGGAACACCGAUGGCG